Molecule: ribosomal RNA, 441 nt
Filed under: bacterium NB3006
Lineage: Bacteria
Description: bacterial SSU rRNA
Rfam family: Bacterial small subunit ribosomal RNA
Source: RNAcentral
GACGAACGCUGGCGGCGUGCUUAACACAUGCAAGUCGAACGGAAAGGCCCUGCUUUUGUGGGGUGCUCGAGUGGCGAACGGGUGAGUAACACGUGAGUAACCUGCCCUUGACUUUGGGAUAACUUCAGGAAACUGGGGCUAAUACCGGAUAGGAGCUCCUGCUGCAUGGUGGGGGUUGGAAAGUUUCGGCGGUUGGGGAUGGACUCGCGGCUUAUCAGCUUGUUGGUGGGGUAGUGGCUUACCAAGGCUUUGACGGGUAGCCGGCCUGAGAGGGUGACCGGCCACAUUGGGACUGAGAUACGGCCCAGACUCCUACGGGAGGCAGCAGUGGGGAAUAUUGCACAAUGGGCGGAAGCCUGAUGCAGCAACGCCGCGUGCGGGAUGACGGCCUUCGGGUUGUAAACCGCUUUCGCCUGCUGACGAAGCGUGAGUGACGGUAAU